Molecule: ribosomal RNA, 408 nt
Filed under: uncultured bacterium
Lineage: Bacteria
Description: bacterial SSU rRNA
Rfam family: Bacterial small subunit ribosomal RNA
Source: RNAcentral
AUUGAACGCUGGCGGAAUGCUUUACACAUGCAAGUCGAGCGGCAGCGCGGGGCGAACCCUCGGCGGCGAGCGGCGAACGGGUGAGUAAUACAUCGGAACGUGUCCGUUAAGUAGGGGGAGUAGCGUCGGCGAAAGCCGGAUUAAUACCGCAUAAGCUCUGAGGAGGAAAGCGGGGCGUCCGUAAGACCUCGCGCUGUUGGAGCGGCCGAUGUCGGAUUAGCUAGUUGGUGGGGUAAAGGCCCACCAAGGCGACGAUCCGUAGCUGGUCUGAGAGGAUGAUCAGCCACACUGGAACUGAGACACGGUCCAGACUCCUACGGGAGGCAGCAGUGGGGAAUUUUGGAACAAGUGGGGGCAACCCUGAUCCAGCCAUUCCGCGUGAGUGAAGAAGGCCUUCGGUUGUAAGUA